This 329-nucleotide ribosomal RNA is filed under the name uncultured bacterium. RNAcentral's name for it is "bacterial SSU rRNA". It matches the Rfam family "Bacterial small subunit ribosomal RNA", at positions 28 to 353 of the family's 1533-position model. The record is from RNAcentral.
GAUGAACGCUAGCGGCAGGCUUAAUACAUGCAAGUCGAACGGGAUUCAGGGUAGCAAUACUUUGAUGAGAGUGGCGCACGGGUGCGUAACGCGUAUGCAACCUACCUUUAACAGGGGGAAUAGCCCCAAGAAAUCGGGAUUAAUACUCCGUAACAUUGCGGGAUGGCAUCAUUCUGCAAUUAAAGAUUUAUCGGUUAAAGAUGGGCAUGCGUGACAUUAGCUUGUUGGUGAGGUAACGGCUCACCAAGGCAACGAUGUCUAGGGGUCCUGAGAGGGUUAUCCCCCACACUGGUACUGAGACACGGACCAGACUCCUACGGGAGGCAGCA